RNAcentral lists this small nuclear RNA (82 nucleotides) under Homo sapiens (human). Its description in RNAcentral is "partial ncRNA". Lineage: Eukaryota; Metazoa; Chordata; Mammalia; Primates; Hominidae. The record is from RNAcentral.
AGAGAAUUGCUUGAACCGCCUGGGAGGCAGAGGUUGCAGUGGGCCAAGAACGCGCCACUGCACUCCAGCCUGGGCAACAAGA